Molecule: ribosomal RNA, 2921 nt
Filed under: Streptomyces griseus subsp. griseus
Lineage: Bacteria; Bacillati; Actinomycetota; Actinomycetes; Kitasatosporales; Streptomycetaceae
Description: bacterial LSU rRNA
Rfam family: Bacterial large subunit ribosomal RNA
Source: RNAcentral
CCAAGUUUUUAAGGGCGCACGGUGGAUGCCUUGGCACCAGGAACCGAUGAAGGACGUGGGAGGCCACGAUAGUCCCCGGGGAGUCGUCAACCAGGCUUUGAUCCGGGGGUUUCCGAAUGGGGAAACCCGGCAGUCGUCAUGGGCUGUCACCCGCUGCUGAACACAUAGGCAGUGUGGAGGGAACGCGGGGAAGUGAAACAUCUCAGUACCCGCAGGAAGAGAAAACAACCGUGAUUCCGGGAGUAGUGGCGAGCGAAACCGGAUGAGGCCAAACCGUAUGCGUGUGAGACCCGGCAGGGGUUGCGUAUACGGGGUUGUGGGAUCUCUCUUCUGUCGUCUGCCGGCGACAGGACGAGUCAGAAACCGUUGAUGUAGGCGAAGGACAUGCGAAAGGUCCGGCGUAGAGGGUAAGACCCCCGUAGUCGAAACGUCAACGGCUCGUUUGAGAGACACCCAAGUAGCACGGGGCCCGAGAAAUCCCGUGUGAAUCUGGCGGGACCACCCGCUAAGCCUAAAUAUUCCCUGGUGACCGAUAGCGGAUAGUACCGUGAGGGAAUGGUGAAAAGUACCGCGGGAGCGGAGUGAAAUAGUACCUGAAACCGUGUGCCUACAAGCCGUGGGAGCGUCGGAACAAGGCUUGCCUUGUUCUCGUGACUGCGUGCCUUUUGAAGAAUGAGCCUGCGAGUUUGCGGUGUGUUGCGAGGUUAACCCGUUCUCCCCGAAAUGCAUUUAGGUGCAGCGUCGUGUGUUUCUUGCCGGAGGUAGAGCACUGGAUAGGCGAUGGGCCCUACCGGGUUACUGACCUUAGCCAAACUCCGAAUGCCGGUAAGUGAGAGCGCGGCAGUGAGACUGUGGGGGAUAAGCUCCAUGGUCGAGAGGGAAACAGCCCAGAGCAUCGACUAAGGCCCCUAAGCGUACGCUAAGUGGGAAAGGAUGUGGAGUCGCACAGACAACCAGGAGGUUGGCUUAGAAGCAGCCACCCUUGAAAGAGUGCGUAAUAGCUCACUGGUCUAGUGAUUCCGCGCCGACAAUGUAGCGGGGCUCAAGCGUACCGCCGAAGUCGUGUCAUUGCGAUAUUAACCCCCAACGGGGAUCGUGAUGGGUAGGGGAGCGUCGUGUGCCGGGUGAAGCAGCCGCGGAAGCGAGUUGUGGACGGUUCACGAGUGAGAAUGCAGGCAUGAGUAGCGAUACACACGUGAGAAACGUGUGCGCCGAUUGACUAAGGGUUCCUGGGUCAAGCUGAUCUGCCCAGGGUAAGUCGGGACCUAAGGCGAGGCCGACAGGCGUAGUCGAUGGAUAACCGGUUGAUAUUCCGGUACCCGCUGUGAAGCGUCAAACAUUGAAUCCAGUGAUGCUAAGCCCGUGAAGCCGUUCCGGACCCUUCGGGGAAAGGAAAGUGGUGGAGCCGGUGACCCAAGCUGGUAGUAGGUGAGUGAUGGGGUGACGCAGGAAGGUAGUCCAUCCCGGGCGGUGGUUGUCCCGGGGUAAGGGUGUAGGCCGUGCGGUAGGUAAAUCCGUCGCACACAAGGCUGAGACCUGAUGCCGAGCCGAUUGUGGUGAAGUGGAUGAUCCUAUGCUGUCGAGAAAAGCCUCUAGCGAGUUUCAUGGCGGCCCGUACCCUAAACCGACUCAGGUGGUCAGGUAGAGAAUACCGAGGCGUUCGGGUGAACUAUGGUUAAGGAACUCGGCAAAAUGCCCCCGUAACUUCGGGAGAAGGGGGGCCAUCACUGGUGAUCCAAUUUACUUGGUGAGCUGGGGGUGGCCGCAGAGACCAGCGAGAAGCGACUGUUUACUAAAAACACAGGUCCGUGCGAAGCCGUAAGGCGAUGUAUACGGACUGACGCCUGCCCGGUGCUGGAACGUUAAGGGGACCGGUUAGUCACUCUUCGGGGUGGCGAAGCUGAGAACUUAAGCGCCAGUAAACGGCGGUGGUAACUAUAACCAUCCUAAGGUAGCGAAAUUCCUUGUCGGGUAAGUUCCGACCUGCACGAAUGGCGUAACGACUUCUCGACUGUCUCAACCAUAGGCCCGGUGAAAUUGCACUACGAGUAAAGAUGCUCGUUUCGCGCAGCAGGACGGAAAGACCCCGGGACCUUUACUACAGUUUGAUAUUGGUGUUCGGUUCGGCUUGUGUAGGAUAGCUGGGAGACUUUGAACUCUGGACGCCAGUUCAGGGGGAGUCGUCGUUGAAAUACCAGUCUGGUCGUGCUGGAUGUCUAACCUGGGUCCGUGAUCCGGAUCAGGGACAGUGUCUGAUGGGUAGUUUAACUGGGGCGGUUGCCUCCUAAAGAGUAACGGAGGCGCCCAAAGGUUCCCUCAGCCUGGUUGGCAAUCAGGUGUUGAGUGUAAGUGCACAAGGGAGCUUGACUGUGAGACCGACGGGUCGAGCAGGGACGAAAGUCGGGACUAGUGAUCCGGCGGUGGCUUGUGGAAGCGCCGUCGCUCAACGGAUAAAAGGUACCCCGGGGAUAACAGGCUGAUCUUCCCCAAGAGUCCAUAUCGACGGGAUGGUUUGGCACCUCGAUGUCGGCUCGUCGCAUCCUGGGGCUGGAGUCGGUCCCAAGGGUUGGGCUGUUCGCCCAUUAAAGCGGUACGCGAGCUGGGUUUAGAACGUCGUGAGACAGUUCGGUCCCUAUCCGCUGUGCGCGUAGGAAUAUUGAGAAGGGCUGUCCCUAGUACGAGAGGACCGGGACGGACGAACCUCUGGUGUGCCAGUUGUUCUGCCAAGGGCAUGGCUGGUUGGCUACGUUCGGGAGGGAUAACCGCUGAAAGCAUCUAAGCGGGAAGCCUGCUUCGAGAUGAGUAUUCCCACCUCCUUGAGAGGGUAAGGCUCCCAGUAGACGACUGGGUUGAUAGGCCGGAUCUGGAAGCACGGUAACGUGUGAAGGUGACCGGUACUAAUAGGCCGAGGGCUUGUCCUC